GUAAUACGUAUGUCACCUGCGUUAUCCGGAUUUAUUGGGCGUAAAGCGCGUCUAGGUGGUUAUGUAAGUCUGAUGUGAAAAUGCAAGGCUCAACUCUGUAUUGCGUUGGAAACUGCAUGACUAGAGUACUGGAGAGGUAAACGGAACUACAAGUGUAGAGGUGAAAUUCGUAGAUAUUUGUAGGAAUGCCGGUGGGGAAGCCAGCUUACUGGACAGAUACUGACGCUAAAGCGCGAAAGCGUGGGUAGCAAACAGGAUUACAUACCCUGAUAGUCCACACCGUAAACGAUGAUUACUAAGUGUUGGGGGUCGAACCUCAGCGCCCAAGCUAACGCGAUAAGUAAUCCGCCUGGGGAGUACGUACGCAAGUAUGAAACUCAAAGGAAUUGACGGGGACCCGCACAAGCGGUGGAGCAUGUGGUUUAAUUCGACGCAACGCGAGGAACCUUACCAGCGUUUGACAUCUUAGGAAUGAGACAGAGAUGUUUCAGUGUCCCUUCGGGGAAACCUAAAGACAGGUGGUGCAUGGCUGUCGU
RNAcentral lists this ribosomal RNA (536 nucleotides) under uncultured organism. Its description in RNAcentral is "SSU rRNA". It matches the Rfam family "Bacterial small subunit ribosomal RNA", at positions 520 to 1055 of the family's 1533-position model. The record is from RNAcentral.